GAGGGCGUGGAAAGGCUGCGGACAGCUUAGUCAGCAACAUGCUCCCCUUGCGAGCACGAGCCGCCGAGGAGCUCAAUCUCCAGAGUCCAUCCAUGUGAAAAGCCAGGUGUGGGCUGCUAUACUGAUCAAGAGGUGUGGGAAAGCACCUGGCCCUGACCACCAUCAGGGGUUAGCCCAGGGGAGAAAAAAGUAAAUUUCUACUGCAUCCAUGACAAGGCGCAUCUCUAUUUUUAAUAUGCUGCCACUUGUAAGACUCAUCAUUGAUUUAAUAAUACUCUUCAGAAGUGAUUUACAAAAACAACAUGUUGGAAGUUCACAUUGAUUGUAGGAGGCAUCACCAGCCUCUGUCUGCGAAGCAUUGUAAUGCGUGAAAGAAGUGAGCAUCUGCAAGCUGGAACAGGUAUGUGUUUUCUAGACAUGUAGCAAAAAGCAGGGGCCAGUGUAGGGAGGCUGGCUCCGAAGUGGUGGUGUGGGUCGGUCUGCACCAUCCAUCCCCUGCCUCCCGUCCACAUCCACCCACUUUCUACCUUUGGUCCACAUUUCUCAUCUCCCCGCCUCUGGUCCAUAUCUAUCCUACCUCUGCUUCUGGUCCACAUGUAUCCUUCUGUCUCAGCUGCCUUCUAUCUCCAUCAUGCAGUCCCACUUAGGGACAUUUUAGGUGGCCACACAGGGCCAGCUGUGUCAUCAGCACUUGUUUAUGGUAGAUGGGCAGUCACUAACUAGAGCCAGACAUCUGAUGUGACACUGUGUUGUUCUUGGGACUGAAGGAUCAGAGCCACCAUCCAUCUACCCUCAGGCAGUUACUUUGUUUCUCUGGGUCCUGCAUCCCCCACCCCUGUAGUGUAGACACAAAAUAACAGAUAUAGUAGUUACUAAACUAAUGCUUAGCAUGUGCAUGGUUCUGUGUCUCACAUAUACUGAC
Molecule: long non-coding RNA, 922 nt
Organism: Mastomys coucha (southern multimammate mouse)
Lineage: Eukaryota; Metazoa; Chordata; Mammalia; Rodentia; Muridae
Exons: 3
Source: RefSeq, a predicted model, not a curated record